This is a long non-coding RNA of Misgurnus anguillicaudatus (oriental weatherfish), 443 nucleotides long. RefSeq lists it as uncharacterized. Lineage: Eukaryota; Metazoa; Chordata; Actinopteri; Cypriniformes; Cobitidae. The record is from RefSeq and is a predicted model, not a curated record.
GCAUGUAUACCUUUUCAUACGGUCAUAUAACUGUCAAUAUUAUUUAUAGGUCUUCACCCGCUAAUCCACAAGAAUCACAGCCUGAACGAAGGUCAAAUGCAGUUGCGGCACAUAUACCAUCACCAAAGAGUCAGAGAAAUCCCUGCUCUAUUGAGGAUUUUGAAGAUUAUUACGCCAACAUGGAAGAUCUCAGCAUUUAUGAAAACGUCUAAUGAAAAUGCUGCACAUCACCUCCAAAAUGUGUUUAAUACAGUGUUUAAAACAGAAAAAGACAAAAGUCAAACAUAUAUUUUAGUCGAUAUUAAAAAAUACAACUUUGUCAUGUAUAUGUCAUGUAAAAAUAGCAUCAAUAUUUUAAUAAACUGUAACUUUGUCUGAUUUGUGUGGCAGCUGGAUCUCUCUCUGGCUUUUCAGCUAUAAUGAGCAAGUUUUUUAAGCAAGCU